CCUACGGGUGGCAGCAGUGAGGAAUAUUGGUCAAUGGUCGUGAGCCUGAACCAGCCAAGUAGCGUGCAGGAUGACUGCCCUACGGGUUGUAAACUUCUUUUAUAAAGGGAUAAAGUGAGUCACGUGUGCCUUUUUGUAUGUACUUUAUGAAUAAGGAUCGGCUAACUCCGUGCCAGCAGCCGCGGUAAUACGGAGGGUCCGAGCGUUAUCCGGAUUUAUUGGGUUUAAAGGGAGCGUAGAUGGAUUGUUAAGUGAGUUGUGAAAGUUUGCGGCUCAACCGUAAAAUUGCAAUUGAUACUGGCAGUCUUGAGUACAGGUGAGGUAGGCGGAAUUCGUGGUGUAGCGGUGAAAUGCUUAGAUAUCACGAAGAACUCCGAUUGCGAAGGCAGCUUACGAAACUGCCACUGACAUUGAUGCUCGAAAGUGUGGGUAUCAAACAGGAUUAGAUACCCGAGUAGUC
Molecule: ribosomal RNA, 460 nt
Filed under: uncultured bacterium
Lineage: Bacteria
Description: partial 16S ribosomal RNA
Rfam family: Bacterial small subunit ribosomal RNA
Source: RNAcentral